This 2433-nucleotide ribosomal RNA is filed under the name Triticum aestivum (bread wheat). RNAcentral describes it as "partial small subunit ribosomal RNA". Lineage: Eukaryota; Viridiplantae; Streptophyta; Magnoliopsida; Poales; Poaceae. The record is from RNAcentral.
AUGGUGAAGUUCUCCAAGCAGUUCGAGGGCCAGCUCGUGCCGGAGUGGAAGGAGGCCUUCGUCGACUACUGGCUGCUCAAGAAGGACAUCAAGAAGCUGCAGGCCGCUGCCGGCGCCGAGGCGGCGCCACUGCAGUCACAGUUCCAGGCGCCCGUGGCUGCCAGUCACUGGGUGAUGAGGCUCCCGUUCCUCAACCCCCAUGGCCACCACAAGGAGCACGGCGCCAUACAGGUGCACAGAAAGCUGGCGAGCGGCGGCAACCACGGCGCGGUGGCCGGAGAGGUGUACGAGACGGAGGUUCUGGACACGGCAGGGUUCGCCGGGGCGGAGGCGGAGGAGGCGAGGGCCUUCUUCCAGAGGCUGGACGAGCAGCUGAACAAGGUGAACCGGUUCUACGAGAGGAAGGAAGGGGAGUUCCUGGAGCGUGGCGAGUGCCUCAGGCGGCAGCAGCAGAUCCUGGUCGAGCUCAAGGCCGCCGUCACCGAGGCACGGCGUCGCGGGGGCUCGUCGGCGGCGGGGAGCGCCGACCCGGAGGACCCGUCCGUGUCUUGCUCUAUCCUGCAUGGAGAUCAAUCCCUCAGGGGCAUUACAGAGCAAGAACACGAAAGUCAAGAAAAGCUCGCCGACGAUGCUACGGCAAAGAACACUGAUGAAGGGGAGGACCAUCUUCCCAUCUCCGAAGGUCUGGGUGACUCGGGAAGGAUUGAGAAGCCGAGAGAAGAAGCUGCCAACAAGCUGAGGACAUUCUCAGGGAGGGCGGUCACUUGCCAGGGCAGGAGCGUGAGGAUCAACAUUCCGGUCACCACACCAUCAAGGACCGUGUUCGCCAUCCGUGAACUUUUGUUCGAUGACAUGCUAAGCCAGUCAAGGAAGACUGGGGGAAAUGGUGGCGAUGGUGGUGAGAAGUUGAGCAUCAACAAGAAAAAGGUGCACCAGGCAGAGAAGAUGAUCAGAGGAGCCCUGGUUGAGCUGUACAAGGGCUUGGGGUACCUCAAGACGUAUCGGAGCUUGAACAUGCUGGCUUUUGUUAAGAUUUUGAAGAAAUUUGACAAGGUUACAGCAAAGGAAGUGCAGACAAUUUACCUGAAAGUAGUGGAGAGCUCCUACUUUAAUAGCUCCGACAAGGCAAUCAGGCUAACGGACGAUGUCGAGGAGCUGUUUGUGAGACAUUUCGCAAGCGGUGACAAAAGGAAAGCAAUGAAGUACCUGAAGCCAAAUCAGAAAGAAGAAUCACAUGCUACCACAUUUUUCAUAGGACUAUUCACUGGUGGCUUUGUAGCACUAUUUAUCGGUUACUGUAUCAUGGCGCACAUAGCUGGGAUGUACACUCAUCAGUCAAACAAGGUCUACAUGUCAACAUCCUACCCUGUCCUUAGCAUGUUCAGCCUCUUCUUCCUGCAUCUCUUCCUCUAUGGAUGCAACAUCUUCAUGUGGAGAAAGACACGCAUAAACUACGCAUUCAUAUUCGAAUUUGCACCUACGAAAGAGCUCAAGUAUCGUGAUGUGUUCUUGAUAUGCACUACCUCCAUGACGAUUGUUGUUGGUGUCAUGUUUGCACACCUGACACUCAUUUUCAAAGGGUAUUCUUCAAGUACAGUCCAAGCAGUCCCAGGGUGCCUUCUUCUGGUGUUCUUAUUAGUAUUGGUCUGCCCUUUCAAAAUCAUUUACCGAUCAAGUCGUUAUCAUUUCCUAAUAGCGAUCAGAAACAUCAUUCUAACACCCUUUUACAAGGUUGUCAUGGUUGAUUUCUUCAUGGCUGAUCAGCUUUGUAGCCAGGUACCGCUGCUUAGAACCCUGGAAUACCUGGCAUGUUAUUACAUAACCAGCAGCUAUAAGACACAAGACUAUGGAUACUGCACAAGAGUGAAACAUUUUAGAGAUUUGGCUUAUGCAGUAUCCUUCCUGCCCUACUACUGGAGAGCCAUGCAGUGUGCAAGGAGGUGGUUUGACGAAGGGGACAUAAACCACAUUGUCAACCUUGGGAAGUACGUGUCAGCAAUGCUUGCUGCAGGAACAAAAGUGGCAUAUGAGAAUGAUAACAGUGCUGGAUGGCUAUCACUUGUCGUCAUCGUGUCAAGUGUCGCCACUAUCUACCAACUGUACUGGGACUUUGUCAAGGACUGGGGUCUUCUACAGUUCAACUCCAAGAACCCUUGGCUUCGUAACGAUCUGAUACUUAAACAAAAAUACAUUUAUUUCAUAUCCAUGGGUUUGAACCUUCUUUUGAGGCUUGCUUGGCUUCAAACUGUCAUCCACCCUAACAUUGGAAGCCUGGAUUCUAGAGUUACUCUGUUCUUUUUGGCAGCUCUUGAGGUGAUUCGACGGGGCCUUUGGAACUUCUACAGGCUGGAGAACGAACACCUAAACAAUGCAGGGAAGUUCAGAGCUGUGAAGGUUGUUCCACUUCCUUUUCAUGAAGUCGAAGAGGACUAA